AACGAACGCUGGCGGCAUGCCUAACACAUGCAAGUCGAACGAAGCCUUCGGGCUUAGUGGCGCACGGGUGCGUAACGCGUGGGAAUCUGCCCCUUGCUUCGGAAUAACAGUUAGAAAUGACUGCUAAUACCGGAUGAAGUCUUCGGACCAAAGAUUUAUCGGCAAGGGAUGAGCCCGCGUAGGAUUAGGUAGUUGGUGGGGUAAAGGCCUACCAAGCCGACGAUCCUUAGCUGGUCUGAGAGGAUGAUCAGCCACACUGGGACUGAGACACGGCCCAGACUCCUACGGGAGGCAGCAGUGGGGAAUAUUGGACAAUGGACGCAAGUCUGAUCCAGCAAUGCCGCGUGAGUGAUGAAGGCCCUAGGGUUGUAAAGCUCUUUUACCAGGGAUGAUAAUGACAGUACCUGGAGAAUAAGCUCCGGCUAACUCCGUG
RNAcentral lists this ribosomal RNA (433 nucleotides) under uncultured bacterium. RNAcentral's name for it is "partial 16S ribosomal RNA". It matches the Rfam family "Bacterial small subunit ribosomal RNA", at positions 29 to 507 of the family's 1533-position model. The record is from RNAcentral.